CCUACGGGUGGCAGCAGUGGGGAAUAUUGCACAAUGGGGGAAACCCGGAUGCAGCAACGCCGCGGGAGUGAUGACGGCCGUCGGGUGGUAAAGCUCGGUCUUCAGGGACGAGAAUGACGGUACCUGAGGAGGAAGCCACGGCUAACUACGUGCCAGCAGCCGCGGUAAGACGUAGGUGGCGAGCGUUGUCCGGAGUUACUGGGCGUAAAGGGAGCGUAGGCGGGCUUUUAAGUGAGAUGUGAAAUCCUCGGGCUCAACUUGAGUGCUGCCUUUCAAACUGGAAGUCUAGAGUGCAGGAGAGGAGACUGGAAUUCCUAGUGUAGCGGUGAACUGCGUAGAGAUUAGGAAGAACACCAGUGGCGAAGGCGCUUCUCUGGACUGUAACUGACGCUGAGGCUCGAAAGCGUGGGGAGCAAACAGGAUUAGAUACCCUUGUAGUC
This 440-nucleotide ribosomal RNA is filed under the name uncultured bacterium. Its description in RNAcentral is "partial 16S ribosomal RNA". It matches the Rfam family "Bacterial small subunit ribosomal RNA", at positions 338 to 795 of the family's 1533-position model. The record is from RNAcentral.